GCCAGCGUGGUAUAGUGGUUUGAUGUUGGAUUAUGGCUCUAGAGACCAGGGUUCAAAUCCCAUCUCAGCUA
Molecule: non-coding RNA, 71 nt
Organism: Phrynosoma platyrhinos (Desert horned lizard)
Lineage: Eukaryota; Metazoa; Chordata; Lepidosauria; Squamata; Phrynosomatidae
Source: the annotation of a GenBank genome assembly